RNAcentral lists this ribosomal RNA (807 nucleotides) under uncultured Glomus. RNAcentral's name for it is "SSU rRNA". It matches the Rfam family "Eukaryotic small subunit ribosomal RNA", at positions 314 to 1114 of the family's 1831-position model. Lineage: Eukaryota; Fungi; Glomeromycota; Glomeromycetes; Glomerales; Glomeraceae. The record is from RNAcentral.
AUCAACUUUCGAUUGGUAGGAUAGAGGCCUACCAUGGUGGUAACGGGUAACGGGGAAUUAGGGUUCGAUUCCGGAGAGGGAGCCUGAGAAACGGCUACCACUUCCAAGGAAGGCAGCAGGCGCGCAAAUUACCCAAUCCCGACACGGGGAGGUAGUGACAAUAAAUAACAAUACGGGGCUCUUUAGGGUCUCGUAAUUGGAAUGAGUACAAUUUAAAUCCCUUAACGAGGAACAAUUGGAGGGCAAGUCUGGUGCCAGCAGCCGCGGUAAUUCCAGCUCCAAUAGCGUAUAUUAAAGUUGUUGCAGUUAAAAAGCUCGUAGUUGAAUUUCGGGAUUGACGUGAUGGUCAUGCCUUAAGGGGUAUGAACUGUUGCAGUUGAUUUCUCACCUUCUGGAGAAACUUGAUGUCCUUUAUUGGGUGUCUUGCGGAUCCAGGACCUUUACCUUGAAAAAAUUAGAGUGUUUAAAGCAGGCAUUUUUGCUCGAAUACAUUAGCAUGGAAUAAUAGAAUAGGACGGCAUGGUUCUAUUUUGUUGGUUUCUAGGAUCACCGUAAUGAUUAAUAGGGAUAGUUGGGGGCAUUAGUAUUCAAUUGUCAGAGGUGAAAUUCUUGGAUUUAUUGAAGACUAACUACUGCGAAAGCAUUUGCCAAGGAUGUUUUCAUUAAUCAAGAACGAAAGUUAGGGGAUCGAAGACGAUCAGAUACCGUCGUAGUCUUAACCAUAAACUAUGCCGACUAGGAAUCAGACGAUGUUAAUUUUUUAAUGACUCGUUUGGCACCUUACGGGAAACCAAAGUGUUUGGGUUC